GGCCGGGUCCCAUGCAAUAACGGUUCUUGUGAACCCCGCCAGGUCCGGAAGGAAGCAACGGUAACAGGAAUGUUAUGUGAUAUGGGGGUGCCCGGCCACU
Molecule: signal recognition particle RNA, 100 nt
Filed under: Pseudobdellovibrionaceae bacterium
Lineage: Bacteria; Pseudomonadati; Bdellovibrionota; Bdellovibrionia; Bdellovibrionales; Pseudobdellovibrionaceae
Description: Bdellovibrionaceae bacterium (stromatolite metagenome) signal recognition particle sRNA small type
Rfam family: Bacterial small signal recognition particle RNA
About the family: The signal recognition particle (SRP) is a universally conserved ribonucleoprotein involved in the co-translational targeting of proteins to membranes. Archaeal SRP consists of a 7S RNA and homologues of the eukaryotic SRP19 and SRP54 proteins.
Source: RNAcentral